AAAAGCUUCUAACAUGAUAUGGAAUCUUGGAUUCCAUAUCAUGUUAGAAGCUUUU
RNAcentral lists this small RNA (55 nucleotides) under Staphylococcus aureus. The record is from RNAcentral. Lineage: Bacteria; Bacillati; Bacillota; Bacilli; Caryophanales; Staphylococcaceae.